Molecule: ribosomal RNA, 608 nt
Filed under: uncultured bacterium
Lineage: Bacteria
Description: bacterial SSU rRNA
Rfam family: Bacterial small subunit ribosomal RNA
Source: RNAcentral
GCAAGAUUAAAACUCAAAGGAAUAGAUGGGGACCCGCACAAGCGGUGGAGCAUGUGGUUUAAUUCGACGAUACGCGAAGAACCUUACCUGGCCUUGACAUAGAAAGAACUUUCCAGAGACGGAUUGGUGCUAGUUUACUAGAGCUUUCAUACAGGUGCUGCACGGCUGUCGUCAGCUCGUGUCGUGAGAUGUUGGGUUAAGUCCCGCAACGAGCGCAACCCUCGUGUUUAGUUACUAACAGUUCGGCUGAGGACUCUAAACAGACUGCCUGGGUAACCAGGAGGAAGGUGAGGACGACGUCAAGUCAUCAUGGCCCUUACGGCCAGGGCUACACACGUGCUACAAUGGGGUAUACAAAGAGCUGCAAUACGGUGACGUGGAGCAAAUCUCAUAAAAUAUCUCCCAGUUCGGAUUGAAGUCUGCAACUCGACUUCAUGAAGUUGGAAUCGCUAGUAAUCGUAGAUCAGCAAUGCUACGGUGAAUACGUUCCCGGGUCUUGUACUCACCGCCCGUCACACCAUGGAAAUUGGAUUCAUUCGAAGCGGGGAUGCUAAAAUAGCUACCUUCCACAGUGGAUUUAGUAACUAGGGUGAAGUCGUAACAAGGUA